This 254-nucleotide ribosomal RNA is filed under the name uncultured bacterium. RNAcentral's name for it is "partial 16S ribosomal RNA". It matches the Rfam family "Bacterial small subunit ribosomal RNA", at positions 524 to 776 of the family's 1533-position model. The record is from RNAcentral.
CACGUAGGGCGCGAGCGUUGUCCGGAAUCACUGGGCGUAAAGGGCGCGUAGGCGGAAUGGCAAGUCGGUCGUGAAAUCCUUCGGCUCAACCGGAGAACGUCGAUCGAAACUGCCGUUCUUGAGGAUUGCAGAGGAGACUGGAAUUCCCGGUGUAGCGGUGAAAUGUGUAGAGAUCGGGAGGAACACCGGUGGCGAAGGCGGGGUCUCUGGGCAAUUCCUGACGCUGAGGCGCGAAAGCGUGGGGAGCAAACGGG